GAGGUUGUGGCUCAAAGGUAGAGCGCUUGCCUAGUGUGUACGGGGCACUAGGUUCAAUUCUCAGCACCUCA
This 71-nucleotide transfer RNA is filed under the name Marmota monax (woodchuck). It matches the Rfam family "tRNA". From Rfam's summary of the family: Transfer RNA (tRNA) molecules are approximately 80 nucleotides in length. The record is from Rfam by way of RNAcentral. Lineage: Eukaryota; Metazoa; Chordata; Mammalia; Rodentia; Sciuridae.